This 781-nucleotide non-coding RNA is filed under the name Ramulus mikado. Lineage: Eukaryota; Metazoa; Arthropoda; Insecta; Phasmatodea; Phasmatidae. The record is from RNAcentral.
UCAUUUUAUGAUGUAGUUUGAUUCUGGCUUUAAUAUUAAUUAUUAAGAGUUUAUACAUGUGAUUUUUUGAUUUAUUAAUUAAGUUGAUCUUAUCUUUUUGCAGUAUUUAAAUUUGAAUAUUAAGUUAUUUUAGAUUUAGAUAUUUUAUAUAUUGUUGUAAAUGUUUGUGCCAGCAUACGCGGUUAUACAAUAAAUGUUAUUUAAUAUUUUUGGUUAAAUUGAAGUUUAAAAUUUUUUUUUUGAUGUUAAUUUUUAAUUUUUUGGGUGAAAUAGUUAAAAUUUAAAUAAGUUUAAUUUGAUUCUUUGAAAAUUAAAAUUUAAACUAGGAUUAGAUACCCUAUUAUUUUAUUUGUUAAUGAUUUACCUGGGUAAUAAUAGUUAUUUUCUUUAAACCUAAAGAAUUUGGCGGUAAUUUAGUCUAUUCAGAGGAAUUUGCCCCGUGAUCGAUAAUCCCCGUUUUAUCUUGCUUUAUUUUGUAUUAUCAGUAUGUAUACCGCCGUUAUAAGUUUAUUUUAUUAGAGAUUUUAAUUUACUUAAUAUAUUAUUAUAUUUUAUUUCAGGUCAAGGUGCAGUUUAUAAUGAAGUGGUGGUGAAUUACAAUAUUAUUUGAAUAAACGGAUUUAUUAUUUAAAUAUUUUAUUUAAGGUGGAUUUGAAUGUAAUAUUUUUAAUUUUAUUAAUUUGAUUUUAGCUCUAAAUUAAGACAUAUCGCCCGUCACUCUCAAUUAAUUGAGAUAAGUCGUAACAAAGUAGGCGUACUGGAAAGUGUGCCUAGGAUAAUA